Molecule: ribosomal RNA, 254 nt
Filed under: uncultured bacterium
Lineage: Bacteria
Description: partial 16S ribosomal RNA
Rfam family: Bacterial small subunit ribosomal RNA
Source: RNAcentral
GACGUAGGGGGCCAGCGUUGUUCGGAAUCACUGGGCGUAAAGGGCGCGUAGGCGGCCUUGCAAGUCGGUUGGUGAAAGCCCGGGGCUCAACCCCGGAGGUGCGGCCGAGACUGCAGGGCUGGAGGCCGGAAGAGGAGGGUGGAAUACCCAGUGUAGAGGUGAAAUUCGUAGAUAUUGGGUGGAACACCGGUGGCGAAAGCGGCUCUCUGGUCCGGACCUGACGCUGAGGCGCGAAAGCGUGGGGAGCAAACAGG